GCCAGGCGUGGUGGCUCACGUCUGUAAUCCAAGCACACUGGGAGGCUGAGGUGGGUGGAUCACCUGAGGUCAGGAGUUCAAGACCAGCCUGGCCAACAUGGUGAAACCCCGUCUCUA
RNAcentral lists this non-coding RNA (117 nucleotides) under Gorilla gorilla gorilla (western lowland gorilla). Lineage: Eukaryota; Metazoa; Chordata; Mammalia; Primates; Hominidae. The record is from Rfam by way of RNAcentral.